RNAcentral lists this ribosomal RNA (577 nucleotides) under Ferdinandcohnia humi. Its description in RNAcentral is "bacterial SSU rRNA". It matches the Rfam family "Bacterial small subunit ribosomal RNA", at positions 125 to 688 of the family's 1533-position model. The record is from RNAcentral. Lineage: Bacteria; Bacillati; Bacillota; Bacilli; Caryophanales; Bacillaceae.
CCUGCCUGUAAGAUUGGGAUAACUCCGGGAAACCGGAGCUAAUACCGGAUAACAAUUUGAACCGCAUGGUUCAAAUUUGAAAGACGGCUUUUGCUGUCACUUACAGAUGGACCCGCGGCGCAUUAGCUAGUUGGUGAGGUAACGGCUCACCAAGGCAACGAUGCGUAGCCGACCUGAGAGGGUGAUCGGCCACACUGGGACUGAGACACGGCCCAGACUCCUACGGGAGGCAGCAGUAGGGAAUCUUCCGCAAUGGACGAAAGUCUGACGGAGCAACGCCGCGUGAACGAUGAAGGCCUUCGGGUCGUAAAGUUCUGUUGUUAGGGAAGAACAAGUACUAGAGUAACUGCUAGUACCUUGACGGUACCUAACCAGAAAGCCACGGCUAACUACGUGCCAGCAGCCGCGGUAAUACGUAGGUGGCAAGCGUUGUCCGGAAUUAUUGGGCGUAAAGCGCGCGCAGGUGGUUCCUUAAGUCUGAUGUGAAAGCCCACGGCUCAACCGUGGAGGGUCAUUGGAAACUGGGGAACUUGAGUGCAGAAGAGGAAAGUGGAAUUCCAAGUGUAGCGGUGAAAUG